UACGAAGGGGGCUAGCGUUGCUCGGAAUCACUGGGCGUAAAGCGCACGUAGGCGGAUUGUUAAGUCAGGGGUGAAAUCCUGGAGCUCAACUCCAGAACUGCCUUUGAUACUGGCGAUCUCGAGUCCGGGAGAGGUGAGUGGAACUGCGAGUGUAGAGGUGAAAUUCGUAGAUAUUCGCAAGAACACCAGUGGCGAAGGCGGCCUCACUGGCCCGGUACUGACGCUGAGGUGCGAAAG
RNAcentral lists this ribosomal RNA (237 nucleotides) under uncultured bacterium. Its description in RNAcentral is "partial 16S ribosomal RNA". It matches the Rfam family "Bacterial small subunit ribosomal RNA", at positions 524 to 759 of the family's 1533-position model. The record is from RNAcentral.